GAAGUGAAGUAUAUUGAUAAAUGCAGCAUGCCAUAUACAUUGCAUGGUUCACUUGCAUCUGAAGUUUUGUCGUGACCUAUGGUCCGACCGUACCGGUACAACUUAGCAUCGUACGUUGCCCGAGGAGGGGUACGAUGCGGCUUCAUACCCUUAGAGGUAUGAAGGCAGAGGACAUAUGCAUUGCAUUCAUAUGCAUUCAUUGAAGUGAUAUUUGCAGAUGGUGUGGUUUUAUACUCUAAGAGGUAUGAACGCAGUGGACUUACACAUUGCAUUCCUAUGCAUACAUUGAAGUGAUAUUUGCAGGUAUUGUUGACGCAGGAAAGUGUUAUACAACCUAUUGUGGUUGUUCGAGGAAAUGAGAUAGCAUUGGUUAUUUUGGGACUAUUGAGUUCUAUAUCUACAAGUAUUUCUGAUCUCAAUUGUGAUCCCUUUAAAAUGUUGAUUAAUUCAAUAUUUUUUGGUUUAAAUAUCUCGUCAAAACAAUUUACUUGCUGAGAUGUUUUCAUCUCACUCUUGCAUUACUCAAUGCAGGUACUUGAUUCAUGUUGGGAAUGAGGGAAGUAGCAGCACAUCCACCUUCACUCUCAUAAUAACGCUGCCAAGGCAUAGCCAUGAUUUAAUUAGAAACUUCUUGUCAAGGAUGUUGUUUUUUAACUAGUCGUGCACACUAGUUAAUUCAGUUUAUGUCGUUAUGGUUAUCUUCCCAUUGCUAGCAGAUUAUUAAUGUCUAGUAUGUUUUCUUAUCAUGAUAUCUGUUUAUACUCUAUUGCUUCCACGUUUAUGCAAAUUUUCAAAGGAGAUGCUGUCAAAAUUUUAUAUAUGAAUGUUAGUUGUGUAGUUUAGUAGCAUUUUGGGGUGUUUGUGGAUCCCGGGGUGUUACAGUUGGUAUCAAAGCAUAGGCUUUAGAUUCUUGGCAAUUUGAAGAUAAAUUUGACACACUUGCACAUAUAGGAAGGGUAUGGGUUCAAAUAUCUUUGAUAUAUGUUAAUGUCUUUGAAGUACAGAUGAAAUGAUUUCACCCUCCCUAUUCCUUUACGGUGAUGUGGUAAGUUGUUAUAACUUAAUGCCUAAUAUAAUUCAUUUCUAAAUUUUGAUAUUGUUUUAUUAAUACGAAUGAUAUCGCUGGUCUUUUGUGAGAUUGAAGUUGUUAUUAUGCUUGUGAUAUACAUGUAUGCCUAUGUUGUUGUCAACAUGUUUUUCAUGGUUGAGUUCUAUUACAAUAAUAUUGUUAUAUAUGUUGGAUUGAGGAUGUUUCUAAGAGGAGUGUGAAUUGCGUGUUUUGGGUUACAAGGUAACCAUCGAUUUGGAUUUAAGUUGUUGGGAGGUUGGUGGAUAGCUCCAACUAUCUUUGCAAGGAAUGAUUGUUUAUGUCGAGAAAUCAGUUCUAAAAGAAAUGAAUAUUGGUACUUUAUAUGGAUUUUUGGGGGAAGUCUUUACAUAGCCAGAAUGGCUUACAUGUCUCACUUCUAUUGUGUGUUUUAGUAGCCACAAAGCCUAGAUGUGGUUUAAAGUGGUUGCAUGUUAGUCAUGCUAAUUGUAGAAUAAAUCUUUGAUUUUCUUGAUCCAUUGAUUAUAUAUUAAUACGUUGAGGAUCUGAUGGUUAUCUCCCUGAUGCAUGCUUGUGGAGCCAUUGUUGGACCACUUAUCUAUUGGUUUGAAUGAAGUCAUUGCCUAGCCUAGAGUUGGUUGGGUGUGGUUAGUCACCUAUUCCUGAAUGAUGUGGUUUUUACAUCAACUUGAGAUGUUCGUCAAAUGUGUGAAGGUUUACGGGGUUAUUAUUGACCCUGUAUGUCUGGUACUUUGAGUGCAUUGUAUGAUAGAAUGAAAUGUAAGUUUCUGAACUACAGUAGAUGAAGACUUAUAUUAUGUGUAGGUUAACCUUACUAGUUUGGAUAUUUUUCUUAGUUGAGUUUUGGAUGAAGUAUAGUGACAUUGAUUAAGCAAGUAUUGUGUUGUUGUUGUGCUGUCAGUGCUCUUUGUGGAGUUUUGGCAUUUCUUCGAUGAACUGUGCCGCGCAGAAUGUUAUUGGCUUCUUGUCGGCUUUAUUGCUCCAUUAGUUCUAUAGACUUUCUCCCUUUUGUGGGGUGCAAAGAAUGUGAGAUUACAUGAUUAUCUUUUAUGAUGGCAAGAAAAAGGUUUAGGAAGAUUAGGAGUUUUGUUUCGAUAGAACCACUUGUUUUAUGGUGCUUUGAGGUGAGGUGUUUGAUCAUCUUAUACAUUCAUCUGGUGUGGAUGUUUCACCAUUGAAUUAAAAUGAAUUGUUGAAGCUGGUAAGGGUUGUGCUUAGUGCAUAUUACCCCUUCAUAAAAGAGUGUUGUUUGAAUACAUUGAUGUUGAUGUAUAGCUGCAUUCAAAUUCGAAGGUGUGAAAUCGUAGUGUUGAUUGCAUCUAUGACUUGCUUUGAGCUUCAUUGCAUGUUGCUUCAUGUUGGAUAUCAGGUUGUGUAGUUUCCUUAGACAAUUAGUCCGAGGUAGAAGUCCUUGUGUUAAUUAAGACCAUUAAUGGAUUUAUGUUUUGAAUGGUGGUGCUAUAUGGGGUACCUUGGAUGCUUUGCUUGGAGUGGUCGAAUUCGAGGACGAAUUCUUUUUAAGGGGGGUAGAGUGUGAUACCCCAAUUUUCUGAAAAGAAGUUAAAUUUCUUUUUCUCUUUUCUUCCAUGUUAUGUCGCAUUGGGGUUUGGAGUUUCGGGAGGCAUACAUCAGGGAAACAGUAGAUCUUUUGGCAUUUUUUCUGCUGGGGUCAGGAGCUCAGAUGGGAGAGCGAGUUCGGGCCAUUGAUCUCGAUCCGAUGGAUGGGAGCCCCCCUCUCCUCCUCAACCCUAGCCGACCCCCUCUCCCUCUCCCCAAUUGUGGCAGCCGCCCCCUCCCUCUUCCUCUCCUCCCCAUUUGCAGCUGCCCUCUACCCUCUCCACAACUUCCUCCUCCCUCUAGAUCUCCCCCCACGCAGCAAGGAUCGAGAAGAGGAGGAGCACGUUGAAAUGAAGAGGAAGAGAGGAUCAAGGAGAUGUUCUACCCCAUCUUUUCUUGCAGUUUUUCUUGGGGAAACCCUAGGUAAGGAUAAGAUCCAUGUUCCUCCCUGUAAUUAUGUGUUUUUGGAGGUUGUGAAUCAUGGGGAUUGAAGGAUUAGAGGUUGGAUUAGAUGGGUGAUUAGUUUUUGAUCUCGAAAUUAGUUUCUGCAGAAUGGCAGAUUUGAUAGUUUCUGUUCAUACCAGUUUUCCGUGCCCUUAGUGGCCUCAAAAAAAUAAAAAGUAUAUCUAUGAGUCGUAGAUAAUUUGUAGAUCUUUCCGUGGCCGUAAAGAACACCCCAAUCGGAUAUUAGAUCAGAAAGUUAUUGCAGUUUGAUUAUAUCAGUUUUUCAGUCUCACAAUUCUGUGUAGAAUCUGUUCUCUUAAGAUUUAGGCAAUUUUAUCAACAGAAUUAAACUUUAGAUUGGUAAAAGAAGUUGUAGAUAAUUUCAUAAGCUUUCCAGAUUGUUAAAGAGGGCAUUCAUAUGAAUUUUGAAACUCCAGUUAUGUUUGUUUUACUGUGGCUGUUCCUGUUUGCCUGACAAAAAUGAGCGGGUCUGUUCACUGGUAGAUUUCAUCUAGUAAAUGGCCGAAUUGGCUCUUCCAACUAUGGAGACUUUUGUAGAGGGACAAAAGUUCUUACUGCCAGCAGAAUUUCAUAAUUUUUGGUUGAAUAGUUUGGGAGAUAUCAAAUUAUGAAGUUAACUAUGCUGCUGUCUGAAACAGAUUCAGUCAAUUAUCUUGUCAGAUGUUUUAGAACUUAUAGAUGGUAAAAUUUAAUUAUCCAUUGAAUACCGAAGUUGUAGAGUAUUUUGUGUAGAAACUCGUAGAGUAUUUGUUUGAUAUCACUACUGUUAUAAUUUUAAAGAUACAAAAUUAACAAACAGCACUGCUGCUGUUUGGCAUGUGGUUCAGGGUGGGAGUCAUUCCACCGAGUCUUGGUUUCAAGUGUAGGAGCGAUUUGUUGAUUGUUGGCAAAUGUUUGUGAAAUAUUUGUACUAAGUUUUAUGCCCUGCAGCAGGUGUCUACACUCUGGAUCAUGCCUAGUACAUUUUUGUUCUUCGAUGAAGGCAAGUGGAUGUAGCGGUGGUUGCUACCGUUUUGACUUGUUGUUUCAUCGCCUACACUCUAAUACUCAGAAUCAUCGAAUUCUUUCAUAAUUGAACUCUAUGGUGAUGCUUUACUUGAUUGUAUUAUAUUGAUGCUUAAUCAUAUAUUGAUGAUGAUGAUGAUUCGAGUAUGACCCACGAGAUUAAUUCACACCCCUGAAGGUGAAUGAAGUAUUAUUUGAGGUUUGUAUUGUAUCUGAAGGUAAACGAAGUAUUAUUUGAGGUUUGUAUUGUAUAUGAAGGAAGUGAAGUAUAUUGAUAAAUGCAGCAUGCCAUAUACAUUGCAUGGUUCACUUGCAUCUGAAGUUUUGUCGUGACCUAUGGUCCGACCGUACCGGUACAACUUAGCAUCGUACGUUGCCCGAGGAGGGGUACGAUGCGGCUUCAUACCCUUAGAGGUAUGAAGGCAGAGGACAUAUGCAUUGCAUUCAUAUGCAUUCAUUGAAGUGAUAUUUGCAGAUGGUGUGGUUUUAUACUCUAAGAGGUAUGAACGCAGUGGACUUACACAUUGCAUUCCUAUGCAUACAUUGAAGUGAUAUUUGCAGGUAUUGUUGACGCAGGAAAGUGUUAUACAACCUAUUGUGGUUGUUCGAGGAAAUGAGAUAGCAUUGGUUAUUUUGGGACUAUUGAGUUCUAUAUCUACAAGUAUUUCUGAUCUCAAUUGUGAUCCCUUUAAAAUGUUGAUUAAUUCAAUAUUUUUUGGUUUAAAUAUCUCGUCAAAACAAUUUACUUGCUGAGAUGUUUUCAUCUCACUCUUGCAUUACUCAAUGCAGGUACUUGAUUCAUGUUGGGAAUGAGGGAAGUAGCAGCACAUCCACCUUCACUCUCAUAAUAACGCUGCCAAGGCAUAGCCAUGAUUUAAUUAGAAACUUCUUGUCAAGGAUGUUGUUUUUUAACUAGUCGUGCACACUAGUUAAUUCAGUUUAUGUCGUUAUGGUUAUCUUCCCAUUGCUAGCAGAUUAUUAAUGUCUAGUAUGUUUUCUUAUCAUGAUAUCUGUUUAUACUCUAUUGCUUCCACGUUUAUGCAAAUUUUCAAAGGAGAUGCUGUCAAAAUUUUAUAUAUGAAUGUUAGUUGUGUAGUUUAGUAGCAUUUUGGGGUGUUUGUGGAUCCCGGGGUGUUACAGAAAUGGAGCCUCAGAUUGUUUAGAUCCCUGUGUUUACCCAUGCCUCAACAAUUCCUUGUCAUAAUUACCAUGGAUCGACGGUGAAUUAGAUCCUUCUUUGCCCUGCUGCAGUGUGCCUUUGUUUAUGACUACUACACAAUUGAAUUAGUUCAUCUUAUGUUAAUUCAAAAUUACCUUCCUGGCAUUUUGAUCUUAGCCUCGACUUCAAGACUAAUAGACACUUGAUCGUAGGUUGAUUUUUACAGUCUGUUGCUCACCAGUAAAGUGCAUGAGUCACUGAGGUGUCCUCUAAUGCUGAAUUUCUGAUUGCAUGCGUGCUGACUUUGUCGUUAUCUCGCUAAUGCAGGCUAAGCCCACAAAGAGUGCGAAUGGGCAGGUCUGCCAGAUUUGUGUUGACUCUAUAUGUGUUUCAGCCACUGGCGAUGUCUUUGUUGCCUGCAAUGAGUGUGCCUUCCCUGUCUGCCGCCCAUGCUAUGAGUAUGAGCGCGAGGGGGACCAAUGCUGCCCCCAGUACAAGACUAGAUACAAGAGACAAAAAUGUUGGUUUCCUGGCAACUUCUUUGAGUGUGUGUAACUUGUAUGAAGCUAGCAUGACGGAGUUCACAUCACAUGCUUACUUUACGUGAAUAAAAGGUUCCAGGCUUGCAGCAUAGUGGAUAUGCCUUAUGAUAAUGACAUUCGACAGCCUAGAUUAAGCCAUCUACUUCAUUUUAUUCUCUAUAACAGUAAUUAAUGAAUUCUUCUUACUUCCUCUGCACCUACAACUAUGACGGGGACUACAAGGACAAGGAUGGUGUCAAGGGCCUGUGCGUCGUGGGCGCCAUCAACAACUAUACCUCCCAGCUCCCCACCUAUGGGAGAUCUUCUCCCCCAUAAUUGCAGAUAAUAUAACACAAGCGCUCAUGUUCCUCUCGCACUUCAUCAGAGACAUACACUAGGUAGUACAAACCGCAAGCAAGGUUUGAUGUGCUCUAUUUGGUGUGUUUGAUCAGAUCAACAAUGUGGCUGAUCGCUCAUGCUACUGACUGCUAACACAACUACUACCUGUACUCCAUAGCCACUUCACUCCGACAAAGGAGGGAACACCGUCGACUUCCACUGGAACCUGGAUGCUAGGGCAUGCUCAGUUUUGUUCACUAAUUGCCCGGUUUGGAACGCCAGCAUCAUCUAGCCGACUAAAGACGACUUCUAUGGAGACAGCGUAGCCGGUUACAUCGACACACUGAAGGAAAACAUAAUGAUAUGGAACUAGGAUAAGAGUUUUCUAUAGAUAGAGAGAAAGAGAGAAGCUAAAUGUUAAUUAUUCAGACCUUUAUUCGCUCGGUAGCACAGAGAAUGGUCGGAGAAGUGUCCAGCUGGGAAGCAUGCGGCAAGAACCAGACUGUAUGUCCAGAUAUGUAUAUAUGCUUUGCUUCACAUUCAGAUUUUUUGUGCUUGGGCAUUUAAUUGAUCUUUGUAUGUUGUUGCAUCGAGUGUUUUUUUCGUUGAUUA
Long non-coding RNA from Zea mays, 6727 nucleotides. RefSeq lists it as uncharacterized. The transcript is spliced from 4 exons. The record is from RefSeq and is a predicted model, not a curated record. Lineage: Eukaryota; Viridiplantae; Streptophyta; Magnoliopsida; Poales; Poaceae.